UGACGAGUGGCGGACGGGUGAGUAAUGUCUGGGAAACUGCCUGAUGGACGGGGAUAACUACUGGAAACGGUAGCUAAUACCGCAUAACGUCGCAAGACCAAAGAGGGGGACCUUCGGGCCUCUUGCCAUCGGAUGUGCCCAGAUGGGAUUAGCUAGUAGGUGGGGUAACGGCUCACCUAGGCGACGAUCCCUAGCUGGUCUGAGAGGAUGACCAGCCACACUGGAACUGAGACACGGUCCAGACUCCUACGGGAGGCAGCAGUGGGGAAUAUUGCACAAUGGGCGCAAGCCUGAUGCAGCCAUGCGGCGUGUAUGAAGAAGGCCUUCGGGUUGUAAAGUACUUUCAGCGGGGAGGAAGGCGAUGAGGUUAAUAACCUUGUCGAUUGACGUUACCCGCAGAAGAAGCACCGGCUAACUCCGUGCCAGCAGCCGCGGUAAUACGGAGGGUGCAAGCGUUAAUCGGAAUUACUGGGCGUAAAGCGCACGCAGGCGGUCUGUCAAGUCGGAUGUGAAAUCCCCGGGCUCAACCUGGGAACUGCAUUCGAAACUGGCAGGCUAGAGUCUUGUAGAGGGGGGUAGAAUUCCAGGUGUAGCGGUGAAAUGCGUA
This 607-nucleotide ribosomal RNA is filed under the name Citrobacter sp. RNAcentral's name for it is "bacterial SSU rRNA". It matches the Rfam family "Bacterial small subunit ribosomal RNA", at positions 89 to 692 of the family's 1533-position model. The record is from RNAcentral. Lineage: Bacteria; Pseudomonadati; Pseudomonadota; Gammaproteobacteria; Enterobacterales; Enterobacteriaceae.